Long non-coding RNA from Mya arenaria, 641 nucleotides. RefSeq lists it as uncharacterized. The transcript has 4 exons. Lineage: Eukaryota; Metazoa; Mollusca; Bivalvia; Myida; Myidae. The record is from RefSeq and is a predicted model, not a curated record.
CACAGAUGCAGGGAUCCAGUCUCUAGAGGAGGAGGUCAGGACACAGUUACUGUGACCCAGUCACAAGAGGAGGAGGUCAGGACACAGAUACUUGGACCUAAUCACAAGAGGAGUCACAAGAAGCAGACAGGCAAUCCCAGGAAUACCAGCACAUUCUGUUGCUCUCUAGCAGUACGGAGAAAUGAUGAAAGCUACAUGGAAAAAGGAAAGAGGCUUUAGGAAACCAGACUUGAGGAUGAUAACCCUGCGGUGGAUGAAAACAGCUCUGAUGUAGAUGAAGCUACACAUGCUGAUGAAGACGUUAACAGUGACACAGGUUAGCAACUAGAAGGCUCCUAUUCUGGCUAUGAGAAAGAGUUGAAAAUCAAGGACCUGUGAUAUACAAUAGAGGACCACUCAAACACGCAGGAAAUGUACAACCCUGACCUGACCCAGUGGCCUAGGAUCUUUAUUUGUGAUUGGCGAGAAAGUCUUAUUCGGGCCAAAUGGUGCACUGGCCAAGAGCAUAGAUUGUCUCCAGGAAUGAAUACAGGAAGUCAGUAGUGUGGAUCAUACCAGCAGACCGGGGGCAGUAUUCUGUAUGAGUUACAAGACAGACAUUGAUUACACUGUCAGUCAGUAUCAGCUGAAGCUGAUUUGUU